Molecule: ribosomal RNA, 300 nt
Filed under: uncultured Gammaproteobacteria bacterium
Lineage: Bacteria; Pseudomonadati; Pseudomonadota; Gammaproteobacteria
Description: bacterial SSU rRNA
Rfam family: Bacterial small subunit ribosomal RNA
Source: RNAcentral
UGGGGAAUAUUGGACAAUGGGGGAAACCCUGAUCCAGCGACGCCGCGUGUGUGAAGAAGGCCUGCGGGUUGUAAAGCACUUUUAGUGGGGAUGAAAAGCCUAGGACUAACACUCCUGGGUCUUGACCUAACCCACAGAAAAAGCACCGGCUAACUCUGUGCCAGCAGCCGCGGUAAUACAGAGGGUGCGAGCGUUAAUCGGAAUUACUGGGCGUAAAGCGUGCGUAGACGGUAGCGUAAGUCAGAUGUGAAAGCCCCGGGCUCAACCUGGGAAUUGCAUUUGAGACUGCUCUGCUUGGGU